UACUGCACUGCCAGUCAUCAAAAAGAUUUUUUGGGCUGGGUGUAGUGGCUCACACCUGCAAUCCUAGCAUUCUGGGAUGCCAAGGAGAAUGGAUCAUUUGAGGUCAGGAGUUCAAGAUCAGCCUAGCCGACAUAGUGAAAUGCUGUCUCUACUGAAAAUGCAAAAAUUAGUUGGGCGAGGUGGCGUGUUCCUGUAAUCCCAGCUACUUAGGAGGCUGAAGCAGGAGAAUUGCUUGAACCCAGGAGGCGGAGGUUGCAGUGAGCCGAGAUCAUGCCAAACUCAGUAACUCAGUCUCAAAAGCCAAAGGUGGCUUGUUUUCUAUUCGCAAGCCCUCAACCAUUCAGCAUCUCCACCCUCUUCUGAGGUUCCUCCCAUCUCUCUGAAGCUGUAAUCCCAUCGUCACUUCCUCUGGCAACACGGUGACUGCCUGCCAUGCCCUAACUCCUCCUCGUGCUUUUGGCCUUCGCCUAACAGUUCCUUGGAGUUUCUUCACAGCAUCUGUAGCCAUCUGAAGUGUCAUCUUCUGUACUACAUUGCCAGUGCCUAGAAUUACGUCUGGUACACUCAACCAG
Molecule: non-coding RNA, 572 nt
Filed under: Pan troglodytes (chimpanzee)
Lineage: Eukaryota; Metazoa; Chordata; Mammalia; Primates; Hominidae
Source: RNAcentral